This 468-nucleotide ribosomal RNA is filed under the name uncultured bacterium. Its description in RNAcentral is "partial 16S ribosomal RNA". It matches the Rfam family "Bacterial small subunit ribosomal RNA", at positions 28 to 507 of the family's 1533-position model. The record is from RNAcentral.
GACGAACGCUGGCGGCGUGCUUAACACAUGCAAGUCGAACGGAAAGGCCCUGCUUUUGUGGGGUGCUCGAGUGGCGAACGGGUGAGUAACACGUGAGUAACCUGCCCUUGUCUUUGGGAUAACUUCAGGAAACUGGGGCUAAUACCGGAUAGGAGCUCCUGCUGCAUGGUGGGGGUUGGAAAGUUUCGGCUGUUGGGGAUGGACGCGCGGCUUAUCAGCUUGUUGGUGGGGUAGUGGCUUACCAAGGCUUUGACGGGUAGCCGGCCUGAGAGGGUGACCGGCCACAUUGGGACUGAGAUACGGCCCAGACUCCUACGGGAGGCAGCAGUGGGGAAUAUUGCACAAUGGGCGGAAGCCUGAUGCAGCAACGCCGCGUGCGGGAUGACGGCCUUCGGGUUGUAAACCGCUUUCGCCUGUGACGAAGCGUGAGUGACGGUAAUGGGUAAAGAAGCACCGGCUAACUACGUG